Molecule: RNA transcript, 2821 nt
Organism: Panicum virgatum (switchgrass)
Lineage: Eukaryota; Viridiplantae; Streptophyta; Magnoliopsida; Poales; Poaceae
Exons: 4
Source: RefSeq, a predicted model, not a curated record
ACCCUCCCCACUCGCUCGGUGGUUUUCCCCCUAGCGUUGCGUGUAAACUGUGAAAAAGGAGGAGAGGGGAAGGGGAAAAGGGGGAGGGGACGUCGCCGCUGUUCGCCGGAAAUGGCAGUCGCCUCCGACGAACCACCGGUGCACGGGCAGUAGUACGCUGAGGUUGGAGCGGUGGUUGUUUUAGGCCGGUGGCGUGUUGGUGCGGGUGGUUCCGGGUUGGUUGCUUGGGCGAGAUGUUGUGGUUGUAGUGCCUGCGCUUCAUGCGAUCGAUGCCGUUCCAGCUGAAGAACGGUCACCACCACCACCACCACGGUGCCGUCAUGGACGGGAAGCCGCCGCCGCCGCCUGCGACGCCACGGGUGUCGAUGUUCCGGAGGCUGCUCGUGAGGGUGUCCGCCUCGGAGAAGUUUGUCGCGGAUGGCAAGGAGAGGGACAACGACGAGAAGCCGCAGCCGCCCCCCGCCGGCGAGGGGGACGCCGCGGGGUCCGUUGGGCUGGACCGCAUGGUGCUCAGCUUCAUGGAGGACGCCGCGACAGUCGAGCGGCCGCCGCGGGGGCGCUGCAACUGCUUCAACGGCAGCAACCACGAGGAGAGCGACGACGAGGAGUUCGACUUCCUCCCCUCCGAGCACGCCUCCGCGCCGGUCGCCGCCGGCGCAGGCGACGCCUUGGAGGCUCUCAAGGGCCUGGUGCAGAGCGCGAGCCUUGCGGAACGGAAUCUUCUCGCGGACGCGUCUAGGAUCGCGGACAAGUGCGGCAAGAGCUGCAAGGGCAAGGCGGAGUACCGCCGCUCGGUGGCCGACGGCCUCAGGACCCUCGGCUACGACGCCGCCGUGUGUAAGUCGCGGUGGGAGAAGACCCCCUCCUACCCCGCAGGGGAGCACGAGUACAUCGACGCCGUGGUGGGGAAGGAGGAGGUGAGGCUGAUAGUCGAGGUGGACUUCCGGUCGCAGUUCGAGCUGGCGCGGUCGACCAAGGCGUACCGCGCGGCGCUCCAGGCGCUGCCGCCGCUGUUCGUGGGGACCCCGGACCGGUUCGGCCAGAUCGUGGCCGUCGUGGCGGAGUCGGCGCGGCAGAGCCUCAAGAAGAAGGGGCUGCACUUCCCCCCGUGGCGCAAGCCGGAGUACAUGUGCGCCAAGUGGUUCUCCCCGCAUGUCCGCUGCGGCGGCGACAAGGCCGUCGUUCCCGGCCCGGCAGCGGCCGCGGCGACGCCGGUCCAAGCGGCGAGCUUUUCCGGCGAGUUCGAGCUGGUGUUCGACAGGAAGCCAAAUAACGACGCCGCCGCCGGCGAGAAGAUCACGGUGGUCGUGUCGCCGUGGCGCCCAACGGAGGAGGCGAGCAAGAAGCAGCAGCUGCCCAAGGCGAAGGUCGUCACAGGGCUCGCCGCCGUCCUCUGAGCGUGGCGUGGUGAACAGAGAAUAACUAGUACCGCUAGCUAGCUUGGUAGCCGCUCAACUACUACUACUCCGCCCCUCCCCUCCCAAAGCCACAUCUACGCCGCCGCCGCCGCCUCCUGCUGACCCGCCUCGCCGCUGUCCCCAGCGUCGUGGACUGCUCUCCGCCGCCGCGGCUAGCAGCCAUGGCCACCACCGCUCGCUCUCUCCACCUCCCGACACCUCCUAAACCCUCUAACCCCUCCCACCACCGCAUCCCUGUCCCCUUCCACAUCCGCCCCCGCCCCCAGCGCCUCGGCCGCCGCCUGGCCGCCUCGUCCUCCGACCUCACCUCGUUCCCCGACCCGGCCCCGACCCCGAACGGCGUCUACGUCCCGUGGGCGGCGGCCCACCCCGCGGCCGCCGCGGCCACCGACGUGGACGCCGCCACGGAGGCGGAGCUGCGGGAGAACGGGUUCCGGAGCACGCGCCGCACCAAGCUGGUCUGCACCAUUGGGCCCGCCACCUGCGGCGCCGCCGAGCUCGAGGCGCUCGCCGUCGGCGGCAUGAACGUCGCGCGGGUCAACAUGUGCCACGGCGACCGCGAGUGGCACCGCGGGGUCAUCCGCGCCGUGCGGAGGCUCAACGACGAGAAGGGGUUCGCCGUCGCGGUCAUGAUGGACACCGAGGGGAGCGAGAUCCACAUGGGCGACCUCGGCGGCGCGCCCUCCGCAAAGGCCGAGGAUGGAGAAGUUUGGACAUUCAGCGUUAGAUCUUCUGACACAUCACUGCCAGAUCGAAUCAUUCAUGUGAAUUACGAUGGCUUUGCUGAAGGUCGUCACAGGGCUCGCCGCCGUCCUCUGAGCGUGGCGUGGUGAACAGAGAAUAACUAGUACCGCUAGCUAGCUUGGUAGCCGCUCAACUACUACUACUCCGCCCCUCCCCUCCCAAUUUUUUUCAUCAUCUUUUUCGUUUCUUUUUCGCCGCGCCUGUCGAUCCAUUUGGGGAUCUAGUUUUUGGUGUUUUGGUGUUUUCCGGGUUUUUUUCGGAAAAGAGAAAAAACACUUGCGUUCUAUUUUGCGCUCGUCUUUACUAGAAUCUUCCCUCUUCUUUUUCCUUUUCCUUUUUGACCCUUGUAAUUUUUGGUCUUGGCAUCUUGAGGGGCUUGUGAUCCCUUCCGAGUCCUGCCUAGUAGUAUGUAGCGGUAGUAGUUUCAGUUGCAAGGAAAGUGGUCAGGUCAGGUGAGGUUGCUUGCUUGUGGCAUGCCUCAUGAUCACCAGCUUGGCUACUUGUAGGAGCAAUCACGCCUCUCCUAUUAUUAGCACUCCUUGUUAUUGGUAUGGAAGAGAUGAACCAUGAGUACCUCUUGUUACUGCCAUCAGUGAAGAGAAUCAGAUAUGCACAAUGAGUGUAUUGCCACUUUGCCAGUAUGUUGUCAAUUCCCUGAA